This 253-nucleotide ribosomal RNA is filed under the name uncultured bacterium. Its description in RNAcentral is "partial 16S ribosomal RNA". It matches the Rfam family "Bacterial small subunit ribosomal RNA", at positions 524 to 776 of the family's 1533-position model. The record is from RNAcentral.
GACAGAGGUCCCGAGCGUUAGGCGGAAUCACUGGGCUUAAAGCGUGUGUAGGCGGACUUCUAAGUACCUUGUGAAAUCCCACGGCUCAACCGUGGAACUGCUUGGUAUACUGGUUGUCUUGGGCCAUCUAGGGGCGAGCGGAACAAACGGUGGAGCGGUGUAAUGCGUAGAUAUCGUUUGGAACGCCAAUGGUGAAAACAGCUCGCUGGGGAUGUGCCGACGCUGAGACACGAAAGCCAGGGGAGCGAACGGG